This 201-nucleotide ribosomal RNA is filed under the name uncultured Anaerolineaceae bacterium. RNAcentral's name for it is "partial 16S ribosomal RNA". It matches the Rfam family "Bacterial small subunit ribosomal RNA", at positions 1184 to 1382 of the family's 1533-position model. Lineage: Bacteria; Bacillati; Chloroflexota; Anaerolineae; Anaerolineales; Anaerolineaceae. The record is from RNAcentral.
GUCAAGUCAGCAUGGCCUUUAUGUCCUGGGCUACACACACGCUACAAUGGGAAGGGACAAUAGGUUGCGAAGCCGCGAGGCGGAGCCAAUCCAGCAAAACUUCCCUCAGUUCAGAUUGCAGGCUGCAACUCGCCUGCAUGAAGUUGGAGUUGCUAGUAAACGCAGGUCAGCCAUACUGCGUUGAAUACGUUCCCGGGGCUU